Molecule: ribosomal RNA, 253 nt
Filed under: uncultured bacterium
Lineage: Bacteria
Description: partial 16S ribosomal RNA
Rfam family: Bacterial small subunit ribosomal RNA
Source: RNAcentral
UACAGAGGUCUCAAGCGUUAAUCGGAGUUACUGGGCUUAAAGGGUGCGUAGGCGGACUCGCAAGUGCUUCGUGAAAUCCCACGGCUCAACCGUGGAAUUGCUUGGCAGACUGCGGGUCUUGAGGUUGGUAGGGGUCGCCGGAACUCUAGGUGGAGCGGUGAAAUGCGUAGAUAUCUAGAGGAACGCCAAAGGUGAAGACAGGCGACUGGGCCAAAUCUGACGCUGAGGCACGAAAGCGUGGGGAGCGAACGGG